ACCCAAACCGUCCCGUGAGUAAAGUUUUCUCUGAGAUGACCGCAAACUUCCAUCUGUAGCAGACAGGCUCUCUGUGUCCUUCCAGUUUGUGCAUUGAACAUGCAUUGAAAAACAUGCAUUGAAGAGUUGAGGCUUUAUACAAUUCACAAUUUAUGCGGCUUCUUCAGGGACAGUCUUUAACGGAAGUGGCAUUUCUUUUGCAGGUAAGUCUGUGGGGGCCAAAAGGACAAUGAUCACUGCUGCAGGUCUGUACAUCUUCAGAGUAGAAACCUCUGAGCUGUGAGCUUUCAGUAGAGCCCUACCUCCAAGUGCGUGGAAGCUAACUUCAAACUCUCUGUGAAGAAACCCAUUGUUAAGGAUUUUAGGUGAAAUCUUCUCAUUGUCUUUCAUUUAAGCUGUGUUUGAUUAGACCAUCCUCGUCUCUGGGCAACACAUUAGAUUCCUGCACCACCACCUGGUCUCAUAAUAGCUGGUUGCUAUAAAACCAUGCAGCUGCAUAGGCCUGGGGUCCUUUCAAGGUUCUGUAGCCGAGUGCUGGUGCUCUCGAUUGCUGGAGAACUUGAGUGCAGUUAAACUAUGCUGGUUGCAUUUAUAGUAAAAAUCAACAAGGAAAACUAAUUACACUAAACCUAUGCAGCGUCUCAUUUAUUGUUCUGCUUAUUUUGUUUAUAAUGUUCUCUUUUAAAAAAUCCUUGUUUUUAGCUGGAAAGCAGUAGGAUUUGGCAGAAACAAGGAGCCUUCCAGCUUCUGACAAGGUUCUCUGCUUCCCCUCCUGCUCUCGCAGGCAUUGCUCAGUGAUCACUGGAGUGUCUACAUCAGUCCCAGCCUUGGCUCAACAUUGCAGAGGAGAGCCCUGUCCAGUGAAACUCCAGCUGUGCAAAAGUCAUCCACAGAGGGCUACAUGUGGAAGCCAAUGAACCAUCUGGGAAGUUUUUACAAUAAAACAGACCAUAGACGUUGGUAGCUUGGCCCAGGGUAGGCCACGGUGAAAUCUGGUCCAUGAGGGACCUAGAGACACUGAAAUCAUCCCAAGGAAGCUCUUCAGGGGCCAUAACACACGUGGAGCUAUCGUGACAACGUCUUCUCCAGACACCUCCUGACGGACCUGCAGGAGGAGCUUCUUAAGGAGGUAUCACUCUUCAGAAAUAUGUCCAUGGCAAACCAAUGUAUGUUUGCCUUCCCUUGCCUUGCCUUGCCUUGCCCUGCCCUG
Molecule: non-coding RNA, 1210 nt
Organism: Macaca mulatta (Rhesus monkey)
Lineage: Eukaryota; Metazoa; Chordata; Mammalia; Primates; Cercopithecidae
Source: RefSeq, a predicted model, not a curated record